GUAACGCGUAUGCAACCUACCUUAAUCAGGGGGAUAGCCCGAAGAAAUUCGGAUUAACACCGCAUAAAAACACAGUACAGCAUUGUACAAUGUUCAAAUAUUUAUAGGAUUAAGAUGGGCAUGCGUGUCAUUAGCUAGUUGGCGGGGUAACGGCCCACCAAGGCGACGAUGACUAGGGGAUCUGAGAGGAUGACCCCCCACACUGGUACUGAGACACGGACCAGACUCC
This 229-nucleotide ribosomal RNA is filed under the name uncultured bacterium. RNAcentral's name for it is "partial 16S ribosomal RNA". It matches the Rfam family "Bacterial small subunit ribosomal RNA", at positions 110 to 339 of the family's 1533-position model. The record is from RNAcentral.